This 947-nucleotide long non-coding RNA is filed under the name Homo sapiens (human). Its description in RNAcentral is "HSALNT0234238". Lineage: Eukaryota; Metazoa; Chordata; Mammalia; Primates; Hominidae. The record is from RNAcentral.
UUAUUUAUUUAUUUUUGAGACAGAGUCUCUCUCUGUUGCCCAGGCUGGAGUGCAGUGGCACGAUCGCGGCUCACUGCAACCUCUGCCUCCCUGGUUCAAGUGAUUCUUCUGCCUCAGCCUCCCAAGUAGCUGGGAUUACAGGCAGAUGCCACUAUGCUCGGCUAAUUUUUUGUAUUUUGAAUAGAGACGGGGUUUCACCGUGUUAGCCAAGAUGGUCUCGAUCUCCUGACCUUGUGAUCCGCCUGCCUUGGCCUCCCAAAGUGCUGGGAUUACAGGUGGUAGCCACUGCGCCCGGCCUUAUGUCCCCAUUUUACAGAUGAGAAAACUGAGUCUCAGAAAAUAAUGACUAAGCUAUUUUUUAAAGUGUCCCACUUGUCUUUCCCCACUUGCUCUGACAUUAAAGCAGACCAAGUGCUUAGCAUAGUUCCAUUCACAGUCUAAUUUUAAUGGUCCUGAAAGUCUUAGUCCUCCUUUAUUCUCUGAAGGCUCCUUCCCCCACCCAGUGCAGUCAGGUGAGUCGUUCUCUACGAGCCUGCAGGGCCCUGUUCACACUUCCAAGGCAGUACUUUUGCUGUGGCUUAAACAGCUAAGUUGUCUGUCUCCCUCCUAGACUACAAGCCCUUCAAGGAAAGAACCAUACCCUGGCCAUUUUUGUUUUCCCAGUGCCUAGACACAAUUGAGAAUGGACAAGGAGGCUGGGCGUGGUGGGUCACGCUUGUAAUCCCAGCACUUUGGGAGGCCGAGGCAGGUGGAUCACUCAAGGUCAGGAGUUCGAGAUCAGACUGGCCAACAUGGUGAAACCUCAUCUCUACUAAACAUAGAAAAAUUAGCUGGGCAUGGUAGCACGCACCUGUAAUCCCAGCUACUCAGGAGGCUGAGGCAGGAGAAUCCCUUCAACCCAGGAGACAGAGGUUCCAGUGAGCCAAGAUUGUGCCAUUGCACUCCAG